AAAUAAUGCGAAAACUAAUGAUGUCGCAUGGAGAACUGUUACGUGUCCUAGUCAACCAUUACAAUCAGUACAAUGUGGAUUCUAUGUUAUGAGGAUGAUGAAAGAUUUUGUGACAAAUGAGUUUUCAAUGCGAUGGCUAACUAGUAACUGUGGCGGGAAGAACUCUUACACAAAGGAUGAUAUCAAUAAAGUACGUGAAGAAUGUGCACAAUGCAUCAUGGAUUUGAUGAGUACUACAUAGGUCCACUCACUUUUGUUAACUUAGACUUUUAAUGAGAUAUACUUACAAUGUUAUCCUAGACUUUCUUGAAGAUAUACACACUUUUGUUGUCUAACUAUAGUUUACAA
Long non-coding RNA from Humulus lupulus (European hop), 348 nucleotides. RefSeq lists it as uncharacterized. The transcript is spliced from 2 exons. The record is from RefSeq and is a predicted model, not a curated record. Lineage: Eukaryota; Viridiplantae; Streptophyta; Magnoliopsida; Rosales; Cannabaceae.